Oncorhynchus mykiss (rainbow trout) is the source of this 3133-nucleotide non-coding RNA. Lineage: Eukaryota; Metazoa; Chordata; Actinopteri; Salmoniformes; Salmonidae. The record is from RefSeq and is a predicted model, not a curated record.
ACUAUAGUGUUGACAGUGUACUGCAGGUCUGUGUGGUCACAGGUAACUAUAGUGUUGACAGUGUACUGCAGGUCUGUGUGGUCCAGGUAACUAUAGUGUUGACAGUGUGCUGCAGGUCUGUGUCAUCACAGGUAACUAUAGUGUUGACAGUGUGCUGCAGGUCUGUGUGGUCCAGGUAACUAUAGUGUUGACAGUGUACUGCAGGUCUGUGUGGUCCAGGUAACUAUAGUGUUGACAGUGUACUGCAGGUCUGUGUGGUCACAGGUAACUAUAGUGUUGACAGUGUACUGCAGGUCUGUGUGGUCACAGGUAACUAUAGUGUUGACAGUGUACUGCAGGUCUGUGCGGUCCAGGUAACUAUAGUGUUGACAGUGUACUGCAGGUCUGUGUGGUCCAGGUAACUAUAGUGUUGACAGUGUACUGCAGGUCUGUGUGGUCCAGGUAACUAUAGUGUUGACAGUGUACUGCAGGUCUGUGUCAUCACAGGUAACUAUAGUGUUGACAGUGUACUGCAGGUCUGUGUGGUCCAGGUAACUAUAGUGUUGACAGUGUACUGCAGGUCUGUGUGGUCCAGGUAACUAUAGUGUUGACAGUGUACUGCAGGUCUGUGUGGUCCAGGUUACUAUAGUGUUGACAGUGUCCUGCAGGUCUUUACGGUCCAGGUAACUAUAGUGUUGACAGUGUACUGCAGGUCUUUACGGUCCAGGUAACUAUAGUGUUGACAGUGUACUGCUGGCCUUUAUGGUCCAGGUAACUAUAGUGUUGACAGUGUACUGCAGGUCUGUGUGGUCCAGGUAACUAUAGUGUUGACAGUGUACUGCAGGUCUUUACGGUCCAGGUAACUAUAGUGUUGACAGUGUACUGCAGGUCUUUACGGUCCAGGUAACUAUAGUGUUGACAGUGUACUGCUGGCCUUUAUGGUCCAGGUAACUAUAGUGUUGACAGUGUACUGCAGGUCUGUGUGGUCCAGGUAACUAUAGUGUUGACAGUGUACUGCUGGCCUUUAUGGUCCAGGUAACUAUAGUGUUGACAGUGUACUGCAGGUCUGUGUGGUCCAGGUAACUAUAGUGUUGACAGUGUACUGCUGGCCUUUAUGGUCCAGGUAACUAUAGUGUUGACAGUGUACUGUAGGUCUUUAUGGUCCAGGUAACUAUAGUGUUGACAGUGUACUGCUGCAGGUCUGUGUGGUCCAGGUAACUAUAGUGUUGACAGUGUACUGCAGGUCUGUGUGGUCCAGGUAACUAUAGUGUUGACAGUGUACUGCAGGUCUUUAUGGUCCAGGUAACUAUAGUGUUGACAGUGUACUGCAGGUCUUUACGGUCCAGGUAACUAUAGUGUUGACAGUGUACUGCAGGUCUGUGUGGUCCAGGUUACUAUAGUGUUGACAGUGUACUGCUGGCCUUUAUGGUCCAGGUAACUAUAGUGUUGACAGUGUACUGCUGCAGGUCUGUGUGGUCCAGGUAACUAUAGUGUUGACAGUGUACUGCUGGCCUUUAUGGUCCAGGUAACUAUAGUGUUGACAGUGUACUGCAGGUCUUUACGGUCCAGGUAACUAUAGUGUUGACAGUGUACUGCUGGCCUUUAUGGUCCAGGUAACUAUAGUGUUGACAGUGUACUGCAGGUCUGUGUGGUCCAGGUAACUAUAGUGUUGACAGUGUACUGCUGGCCUUUAUGGUCCAGGUAACUAUAGUGUUGACAGUGUACUGCUGCAGGUCUGUGUGGUCCAGGUAACUAUAGUGUUGACAGUGUACUGCAGGUCUUUACGGUCCAGGUAACUAUAGUGUUGACAGUGUACUGCAGGUCUGUGUGGUCCAGGUAACUAUAGUGUUGACAGUGUACUGCAGGUCUGUGUGGUCCAGGUAACUAUAGUGUUGACAGUGUACUGCUGCAGGUCUGUGUGGUCCAGGUAACUAUAGUGUUGACAGUGUACUGCAGGUCUUUAUGGUCCAGGUAACUAUAGUGUUGACAGUGUACUGCAGGUCUGUGCGGUCCAGGUAACUAUAGUGUUGACAGUGUACUGCAGGUCUGUGUGGUCACAGGUAACUAUAGUGUUGACAGUGUACUGCAGGUCUGUGCGGUCCAGGUAACUAUAGUGUUGACAGUGUACUGCUGGUCUGUGUGGUCACAGGUAACUAUAGUGUUGACAGUGUACUGCAGGUCUGUGUGGUCCAGGUAACUAUAGUGUUGACAGUGUACUGCAGGUCUUUACGGUCCAGGUAACUAUAGUGUUGACAGUGUACUGCAGGUCUGUGUGGUCCAGGUAACUAUAGUGUUGACAGUGUACUGCAGGUCUGUGUCAUCACAGGUAACUAUAGUGUUGACAGUGUACUGCUGCAGGUCUGUGUGGUCCAGGUAACUAUAGUGUUGACAGUGUACUGCCAGUCUGUGUCAUCACAGGUAACUAUAGUGUUGACAGUGUACUGUAGGUCUUUAUGGUCCAGGUAACUAUAGUGUUGACAGUGUACUGCAGGUCUGUGUGGUCCAGGUAACUAUAGUGUUGACAGUGUACUGCUGCAGGUCUGUGUGGUCCAGGUUACUAUAGUGUUGACAGUGUACUGCUGGCCUUUAUGGUCCAGGUAACUAUAGUGUUGACAGUGUACUGCAGGUCUGUGUGGUCCAGGUAACUAUAGUGUUGACAGUGUACUGCAGGUCUGUGUGGUCCAGGUAAAUAUAGUGUUGACAGUGUACUGCAGGUCUGUGUGGUCCAGGUAACUAUAGUGUUGACAGUGUGCUGCGGGUCUGUGUGGUCAAUCAGAUCAAGUCUUUUGACCAAUCAGAUCAAGUCUUUUGACCAAUCAGAUCAAGUCUUUUUGACCAAUCAGAUCAAGUCUUUUGACCAAUCAGAUCAAGUCUUUUGACCAAUCAGAUCAAGUAUUUUGUCCAAUAAUUGGGCAAAAUAUCAGAAUUGAGCUGCCUGUGUAAACGCAGCGUUUUUUUUUUGUCAAAUGCUGAUGUGAAAAGGGGCCUUAUGAAUAAAUGUGAUUUGAUUGAGAAGCCUCACAAAACAAUGACAUUAUCAACUAACCUGUUGUUGCCAGAUUAAACCAACUGAGAAGAACAUUUACAAUUCUUGUCGAUCCUAUACUGUUAACCCUAGAUACGUGUUGUUUCAAUUCCCUGUGUGUUUGUGUGA